UGGGCGUAAGGGCUCGCAGGCGGUUUCUUAAGUCUGAUGUGAAAGCCCCCGGCUCAACCGGGGAGGGUCAUUGGAAACUGGGAAACUUGAGUGCACAAGAGGAGAGUGGAAUUCCACGUGUAGCGGUGAAAUGCGUAGAGAUGUGGAGGAACACCAGUGGCGAAGGCGACUCUCUGGUCUGUAACUGACGCUGAGGAGCGAAAGCGUGGGGAGCGAACAGGAUUAGAUACCCUGGUAGUCCACGCCGUAAACGAUGAGUGCUAAGUGUUAGGGGGUUUCCGCCCCUUAGUGCUGCAGCUAACGCAUUAAGCACUCCGCCUGGGGAGUACGGUCGCAAGACUGAAACUCAAAGGAAUUGACGGGGGCCCGCACAAGCGGUGGAGCAUGUGGUUUAAUUCGAAGCAACGCGAAGAACCUUACCAGGUCUUGACAUCCUCUGACAGCGGUAGAGAUAGGGCUUUCCCUUCGGGGACAGAGUGACAGGUGGUGCAUGGUUGUCGUCAGCUCGUGUCGUGAGAUGUUGGGUUAAGUCCCGC
This 536-nucleotide ribosomal RNA is filed under the name Bacillus subtilis. RNAcentral's name for it is "bacterial SSU rRNA". It matches the Rfam family "Bacterial small subunit ribosomal RNA", at positions 555 to 1090 of the family's 1533-position model. Lineage: Bacteria; Bacillati; Bacillota; Bacilli; Caryophanales; Bacillaceae. The record is from RNAcentral.